RNAcentral lists this ribosomal RNA (441 nucleotides) under uncultured bacterium. RNAcentral describes it as "partial 16S ribosomal RNA". It matches the Rfam family "Bacterial small subunit ribosomal RNA", at positions 338 to 795 of the family's 1533-position model. The record is from RNAcentral.
CCUACGGGUGGCAGCAGUGGGGAAUAUUGCACAAUGGGCGAGACCCUGAUGCAGCAACGCCGCGUGAAGGAUGACUGUCUUCUGAGUUGUAACUUCUGUUCUUAGUGGAGAAUAGUUCCGUUUGCUAACGAUCACGCCACUGCUAACUACGUACCAGCAGCCUCGGUCCUACGGAGGUGGCGAGCGUAGUCCGGAUUUACUGGGUGUAACGGGAGCUCAGGCGGGAAGCGAAGUCAGCUGUGAAAACUACGGGCUUAACUUGUAGACUGCAGUUGAAACUGGUUGUCUUGAGUGAAGUAGAGGUGGGCGGAAUUCCGAGUGUAGCGGUGAAAUGCGUAGAUAUUCGGAGGAACACCGGUGGCGAAGGCGGCCAACUGGGCUGUAACUGACGCUGAGGCUCGAAAGUGUGGGGAGCAAACAGGAUUAGAUACCCCUGUAGUC